Molecule: non-coding RNA, 2334 nt
Organism: Oncorhynchus mykiss (rainbow trout)
Lineage: Eukaryota; Metazoa; Chordata; Actinopteri; Salmoniformes; Salmonidae
Source: RefSeq, a predicted model, not a curated record
UGGUUACCAACGUAAUUAGAGCAGUAACAAUUAAAUGUUUUGUCAUACCUGUGGUAUACGGUCUGAUGUAGCACGGCUGUCAGCCAAUCAGCAUUCAGGGCUUGAACCACCCAGUUUGUAAUUCUCUAUAAAUGGUGAGUGUCAACAUCAGGCUGUAUUUUGUCUGUUUUACAGCAGGCUAGUGUUCUCCGGAGAAUCCAGCUGAGUUUAACACAGCAUGUUGGUUUUCUUCCAUAGUGAGUAGCAUGCCAGGGCUAGGAGGCGGUUCCAGACCACUGUGUGUGGUGUGUUGCUCUCUCCUGCGUCUCUCUCAUUACCAUGACAUUCCUUCGCACAGACACUUGACGGCCAUCUUUCCUUGUUCCAUCGCCAUAAGCAACAACAGCCCAGCAGAGAGAAGGAACACAGUGCACAUCAAAAAUGACGACAUUGUACUCUUACUCUCGACAUUGUAUUCUUCAAAUUAAAAAAACAAGUGUAAUGAACCCAGAUGUUGUUUUCUGUCUAAUCUAACCUACUCUCUGACAGGAUAUGUGUAAUCUAAAGAGAAUAUAGUGACAUGGAGUGGCAUCUCCUCCAGUAUGUAUGUAAGCGCUGCAUAUUAGUCUUUGGCAUGGUUCAGUAUCGGAGAAGCCCAUUGGUUGAGCUGACGUUCACGCCAGACCAAUAACAGGAGAGCAGAAGAUCAGGUCAAUGCUUCAUCGUCGUGGAUUUAAAAACCUUGUAUUUACUUGGUUAAAUAACAUCCACAUACGUUUCCCAGUGACAUAGAGGGACAUAAAAUAAAACCAUUAAAUCGGAGUCUGAAUCGAUUUAGAAAAAAAAAACUGUUUUGAUUGAAAGAGAUCCACCGUAUUAUCAAUUGUAAGACUUUAAUUCUUUAAGACUUUAAAUUCUUUACGACAGUAUUAAGACAUCUAUAAACGUUCUUCAGGGCUUGAGACUUUUUCAGAGAGGCAGCUGUUCUCAUACACUCCUCAGAGUACACUACAGCUGCACCAACCCACCCCAGGAGGUUAAACAGACUGCCCUACCAGGACAACCCACCACAUCCACCCCAGGAGGUUAAACAGACAGCCCUACCAGGACAACCCACCACAUCCACCCCAGGAGGUUAACAGACAGCCCUACCAGGACAACCCACCACAUCCACCCCAGGAGGUUAACAGACUGCCCUACCAGGACAACCCACCACAUCCACCCCAGGAGGUUAAACAGACAGCCCUACCAGGACAACCCACCACAUCCACCCCAGGAGGUUAAACAGACAGCCCUACCAGGACAACCCACCACAUCCACCCCAGGAGGUUAGACAGACAGCCCUACCAGGACAACCCACCACAUCCACCCCAGGAGGUUAAACAGACUGCCCUACCAGGACAACCCACCACAUCCACCCCAGGAGGUUAAACAGACAGCCCUACCAGGACAACACACCACAUCCACCCCAGGAGGUUAACAGACAGCCCUACCAGGACAACCCACCACAUCCACCCCAGGAGGUUAACAGACUGCCCUACCAGGACAACCCACCACAUCCACCCCAGGAGGUUAAACAGACAGCCCUACCAGGACAACCCACCACAUCCACCCCAGGAGGUUAACAGACUGCCCUACCAGGACAACCCACCACAUCCACCCCAGGAGGUUAAACAGACAGCCCUACCAGGACAACCCACCACAUCCACCCCAGGAGGUUAACAGACAGCCCUACCAGGACAACCCACCACAUCCACCCCAGGAGGUUAACAGACGGCCCUACCAGGACAACCCACCACAUCCACCCCAGGAGGUUAACAGACAGCCCUACCAGGACAACCCACCACAUCCACCCCAGGAGGUUAAACAGACAGCCCUACCAGGACAACCCACCACAUCCACCCCAGGAGGUUAAACAGACAGCCCUACCAGGACAACCCACCACAUCCACCCCAGGAGGUUAGACAGACAGCCCUACCAGGACAACCCACCACAUCCACCCCAGGAGGUUAAACAGACAGCCCUACCAGGACAACCCACCACAUCCACCCCAGGAGGUUAAACAGACAGCCCUACCAGGACAACCCACCACAUCCACCCCAGGAGGUUAACAGACAGCCCUACCAGGACAACCCACCACAUCCACCCCAGGAGGUUAAACAGACAGCCCUACCAGGACAACCCACCACAUCCACCCCAGGAGGUUAAACAGAGAGCCCUACCAGGACAACCCACCACAUCCACCCCAGGAGGUUAACAGACAGCCCUACCAGGACAACCCACCACAUCCACCCCAGGAGGUUAAACAGACAGCCCUACCAGGACAACCCACCACAUCCACCCCAGGAGGUUAAA